GAAAGGUGCUUGCAUCUUGAUUUAAUUUUGAACGAGUGGCGGACGGGUGAGUAACACGUGGGUAACCUGCCCUUAAGUGGGGGAUAACAUUUGGAAACAGAUGCUAAUACCGCAUAAAUCCAAGAACCGCAUGGUUCUUGGCUGAAAGAUGGCGUAAGCUAUCGCUUUUGGAUGGACCCGCGGCGUAUUAGCUAGUUGGUGAGGUAACGGCUCACCAAGGCAAUGAUACGUAGCCGAACUGAGAGGUUGAUCGGCCACAUUGGGACUGAGACACGGCCCAAACUCCUACGGGAGGCAGCAGUAGGGAAUCUUCCACAAUGGACGCAAGUCUGAUGGAGCAACGCCGCGUGAGUGAAGAAGGCUUUCGGGUCGUAAAACUCUGUUGUUGGAGAAGAAUGGUCGGCAGAGUAACUGUUGUCGGCGUGACGGUAUCCAACCAGAAAGCCACGGCUAACUACGUGCCAGCAGCCGCGGUAAUACGUAGGUGGCAAGCGUUAUCCGGAUUUAUUGGGCGUAAAGCGAGCGCAGGCGGUUUUUUAAGUCUGAUGUGAAAGCCCUCGGCUUAACCGAGGAAGUGCAUCGGAAACUGGGAAACUUGAGUGCAGAAGAGGACAGUGGAAC
This 621-nucleotide ribosomal RNA is filed under the name Lacticaseibacillus rhamnosus. RNAcentral's name for it is "bacterial SSU rRNA". It matches the Rfam family "Bacterial small subunit ribosomal RNA", at positions 64 to 667 of the family's 1533-position model. Lineage: Bacteria; Bacillati; Bacillota; Bacilli; Lactobacillales; Lactobacillaceae. The record is from RNAcentral.